This is a long non-coding RNA of Mirounga angustirostris (Northern elephant seal), 2771 nucleotides long. RefSeq lists it as uncharacterized. The transcript has 7 exons. The record is from RefSeq and is a predicted model, not a curated record. NCBI's taxonomy places the organism in Eukaryota, Metazoa, Chordata, Mammalia, Carnivora, Phocidae.
AACUCUGAUCCAACAACCCUGUCAAGUGGCCACGACAGCUCUGUUUGCAUAUCUCCAGUCACAGGGAACUUACUACCGAUGAUGGAGUACACACACUAUUUUGGAUCACUUUAAUGCCUUGCUGAUGACAUUAUUAAGGUGUGGGUGGCACCUUACACCCCUAUAGGAAUAUAGGAAAGUACCUGCAACUCUUGAAGAGUUGGUAAAAAAAAAUACAAGGUCAAGGAAUUGGUAAGCAAGCCGAUACAACCUGCUGGGAUACAGCACAGCUGGUGUCAGAAGCCUCAGCUGGAAGCUCAACACAUCAAUGGAGAGUUAGGGGAAAAUCUAUAGACCCAACUUCUUCCGAACUACAAAGCUGAGAGCCAAAUCGCUUCUGUCAGGAGCCAAGCGCUCAUCAACGCGGAGAGGGGAAAGAAAGAAAAUCCGCAUCAGCAACUCUUAAUGUGAAAGUUUUCUUCCCAGACGACGAAGAGACACAGCAGCUGCAGAGUUGAAGCUACCAAAAUGGAAGCUUUUGACUACGACUUUCAACACCGCGCUUCUGAGAAGUUACCAGGGAGGACAGAGGCAUCUCCAUGAGACAGCUUCCGGGGAUGGGAGAGCUAUUCAUUACUCUGGAACUUUGAAAAUGUAGAAUAAAAGAAUAAAGUAGAGAACAAAGGAAACAGUGGUGAGGAGUCACAGACGGUCUUUAGUGUACCUGUGUGAAAUUGUUCCCUAGUCAUCUCUGUGCUAUGUCAAGUUUGCCUUCUCUGCGCCCCACCAGUACCCACACUGAUGUCUCUUUGGAGCCUUCUUUCUGCCCCCCACAUGGCCGCUUGUUGAGGACACCCCUCCUUCACAAACAGCCAAGUGUGGGCUCCUCAGGCAGCCUCCCCACCUUCUCCAGCACUCACAACCUACCCGUCUAAGCCCCCAAAAGACCAGCAGUGAUUUGUCUCAGGACGGUAAAGACCUGGCUGGUGACCACAUCCAGAGACAAGACAGAGAUAGGAGGGACCCAGAGCCAAGCUGUGCCAAGCCGUGCAGCUGAGCAUCUGUGAGGAUGAGCCAAGGGGCUGACCACUGCAAAUGGUUUCUUCACGAUGUCAUGGCCAGGCAGCUGGUGGCAACAGAGAGCCUCUGACAGCUUACUUAGUCAUCAUAAUGACCAACACUGUAUAUCAUCAUCCCCAUUCUACAGAUGAGAAAACUGAAACAGAGACAAGUUAAGUACCUUGCCAUUGGGCUCACAGAUGGCAAGUGGCAGAUUUGGACCGCACUGCAUUCUAAUCAACAUCCCUGCCAUGCACAGACGUCAUCCUCACCACAGCCAGCAUGCCUCCUUCUCCACCUCUGCCAGGACCUUCACCACCACUACCAGUGUAAAAGUAUUGACUGAGCCUUCUGUUUGCUGGGCGCUUUGCGGAGUGCUCUGCAGAUUGUCUCAUGCCGUAUUCACAACAACCCUAUGUUACUGAUCCUGUUAUUACCUCUACUUCACAAAUGUGGAAACUAAGCUUCAGAGAAGCGAAGAAAUCUGUCCCUGCACCUGGUCAGAGGUCCGCAAGAUUCGUGAUGUGUUUAAGAUCCACAGCCAGUUUUGCCUGACACCUGUGAGAAUGCAUUUAACUCCUGCGCUCCCUUUUCAGGAGAUGGCAGGUGGAGGCAUUGCCCACCGGGCAUUUCGUCAAACUGGCUCCCUGCUCCUCACCCACCAUAUUGGAAGUUCGUUGCUAGGAUGUGAGGACCACCCCGUGGAGCUGGGAUACGACUUUGCAUGUGGUAACUCUGCUACCAAACAAUGUGUAAGACCAACUGCUGAGAUUCUGAGCUCUGGCCAAGUAACAUCCGGGAGCUUUGGCCUGACAUCUGCUGAAGCUGGCCUGUAAUUCUCUUUGGUGAAGCCCCAUGCACCCCAGGUCAGUCUCUUCUGAGACAUCACCAUCCUCACCAAAGCCCUCAGAUGUCCCCUCCAGUGUGUUCCAUUUGUUCUCCUUUGACUGAACACCAGCUCUGGGGGAAUGAAGGGGUGUCACAAAGAAUAUCAGGCUUGUUUUUCAAAACUUUCACUCCUGUCCAUCUCUUCUGUCAACUCUCAGACCAGGUGACCGUCAUCACGUACCGGAAUUAUUACUGUGGCCUCCUACCUGCUUUCAAUCUUGUCCCCCUCUAAUCUAUUCUCCACAGAGCAGCCACACUGGUGUUUUCAAAGGCUAAGCUCAAUCAUAUCUGUCCUCUGCUUAGAGUUCUUAGUGUUAUUUCUCCUCCCUUUUAAUUUCUUUUGGAGUAAAAUCCAACCUUCCCCCCAUCAGUGCUUCUAAGCCCCUGUGGUUUCUUUCUGGCCCCUCUCUGCCUCUUUCCCUUCUCCCAUGGUGCUCCAGGUUCGCUGGCCUCUGCUCAGGUCACUGAGAACACCGAGCCGUGGUACGGCCGGCAUACAUACCCUCCGCCUCAGUAUGCCCGCUCUCUGCCACUCCAACCCCUGCCUCUUCCCAGCUUCCUCAUCUCAGCUUUAAUGUCACUUCCUCACAGACAGUCCUCUUCAUCCUUGAAUGCAACCCCCACUAUUUUCUGCGGACCCAACUUUUUUUUUUUUUCUUUCAGAGCACUUACCACAACUUGCGAUACAAAUUUGUAUGGGGAUUGCCUGCUUAUUACCUGCCUUCCCUAGAAACCUGUAAGCUCCAUGAAGGAAAAUGAAGUUGGUUUCCUUGUCUCUGUACCCUCAGUGACUAACUCAAUUUCUGAGGCAGGAGCAGAGGCUAAAUAAAUAUUUGUUGAAUGAA